This 409-nucleotide ribosomal RNA is filed under the name uncultured marine bacterium. RNAcentral's name for it is "bacterial SSU rRNA". It matches the Rfam family "Bacterial small subunit ribosomal RNA", at positions 9 to 416 of the family's 1533-position model. The record is from RNAcentral.
GAGUUUGAUCAUGGCUCAGAUUGAACGCUGGCGGCAUGCUUUACACAUGCAAGUCGAACGGCAGCACGGGGUUUACCCUGGUGGCGAGUGGCGAACGGGUGAGGAAUACAUCGGAACGUGUCUAUAAGUGGGGGAGUAACGCAUCGAAAGGUAGUGCUAAUACCGCAUAAUCUCUCAGGAGAAAAGACAGGGGGUCGGCAAGACCUUGCGCUUUAGGAGCGGCCGAUGCCUGAUUAGCUUGUUGGUAAGGUAAAAGCUUACCAAGGCUUCGAUCAGUAGCUGGUCUGAGAGGACGACCAGCCACACUGGGACUGAGACACGGCCCAGACUCCUACGGGAGGCAGCAGUGGGGAAUUUUGGACAAUGGGGGAAACCCUGAUCCAGCCAUGCCGCGUGAGUGAAGAAGGCC